CAGAGAUCUGUAAAAAAUAUACUUUCAUUGUUAACUUAGAGGGAAAGGAGCAUUCUCUUGUGUGGCAUCGGGAUGGAUUUUCUUGGGGCAGGGCAGUGAUUAUCAAACUAAAAAGUUCUUUAUGACCUUAUAGGCGAUUUUCAUUUUUUAAAGGAGAGGUGGAAUAAUGUCUAGCGGGGUGCAAGUGACAAAAUAGGUGGGGUGAAUUUCUGGAGGGCUUAAUC
This is a non-coding RNA of Paramuricea clavata, 224 nucleotides long. Lineage: Eukaryota; Metazoa; Cnidaria; Anthozoa; Malacalcyonacea; Plexauridae. The record is from the annotation of a GenBank genome assembly.